RNAcentral lists this ribosomal RNA (492 nucleotides) under uncultured bacterium. Its description in RNAcentral is "partial 16S ribosomal RNA". It matches the Rfam family "Bacterial small subunit ribosomal RNA", at positions 29 to 507 of the family's 1533-position model. The record is from RNAcentral.
AGUGAACGCUGGCGGUAGGCCUAACACAUGCAAGUCGAACGGCAGCACAGUAAGAGCUUGCUCUUACGGGUGGCGAGUGGCGGACGGGUGAGGAAUACAUCGGAAUCUACUUUUUCGUGGGGGAUAACGUAGGGAAACUUACGCUAAUACCGCAUACGACCUACGGGUGAAAGCAGGGGAUCUUCGGACCUUGCGCGAUUGAAUGAGCCGAUGUCGGAUUAGCUAGUUGGCGGGGUAAAGGCCCACCAAGGCGACGAUCCGUAGCUGGUCUGAGAGGAUGAUCGGCCACACUGGAACGGAGACACGGUCCAGACUCCUACGGGAGGCAGCAGUGGGGAAUAUUGGACAAUGGGCGCAAGCCUGAUCCAGCCAUAGCGCGUGGGUGAAGAAGGCCUUCGGGUUGUAAAGCCCUUUUGUUGGGAAAGAAAAGCAGCAGGUUAAUACCCCGCUGUUCUGACGGUACCCAAAGAAUAAGCACCGGCUAACUUCGUG